RNAcentral lists this ribosomal RNA (1088 nucleotides) under uncultured Candidatus Babelota bacterium. Its description in RNAcentral is "bacterial SSU rRNA". It matches the Rfam family "Bacterial small subunit ribosomal RNA", at positions 74 to 1159 of the family's 1533-position model. The record is from RNAcentral.
AGGUCGCAAGACUGAGUAGAGUGGCGGACGGGUGAGUAAAAUAUAGGAAUCUACCCUUUANAGGAGAAUACCAUCGAGAAAUCGGUGUUAAUACUGCAUAAGCCCAGAGAUGGGGAAAGGUGGCCUCAAGCUACCGCUGAAGGAUGAGCCUGUAACCUAUUAGCUAGUUGGUGGGGUAAUGGCCUACCAAGGCAGAGAUGGGUAACCGGCCUGAGAGGGUGUACGGUCACACUGGAACUGAGACACGGUCCAGACUCCUACGGGAGGCAGCAGUGGGGGAUAUUGCACAAUGGGCGCAAGCCUGAUGCAGCGACGCCGCGUGGAGGAUGAAGGUUUUCGGAUUGUAAACUCCUGUUACGUGGGAAAAAAUGCCCUGUUUGAACAAAACAGGGAGCUGAUGGUACCACGAGAGAAAGCACCGGCAAACUUCGUGCCAGCAGCCGCGGUAAUACGAAGGGUGCAAGCGUUAUUCGGAAUAACUGGGUGUAAAGAGCGUGGAGGCGGCUUUAUAAGUCAUUUGUAAAAUAGCUCGGCUUAACUGAGCACCUGCAGAUGAUACUGUAGAGCUAGAGUACAGGAGAGAAAGGUAGAAUCUCGGAGUAGCGGUAAAAUGCGUAGAUCUCGAGAGGAAUACCGGUUGCGAAGGCGGCCUUUUGGCCUGUAACUGACGCUCAAGCGCGAAAGCGUGGGUAGCAAACAGGAUUAGAUACCCUGGUAGUCCACGCUGUAAACGAUGAUCACUAGAUGUAGGUCCUGCAAUGCAGGGUCUGUGUCGUAGCUAACGCGAUAAGUGGUCCACCUGAGUACUACGAUCGCAAGAUUAAAACUCAAAGGAAUUGACGGGGGUCCGCACAAGCGGUGGAACAUGUGGUUUAAUUCGACACUACGCGAGGAACCUUACCUGGGUUUGACAUGUAACUGCUACUGAUAGAGAUAUUGGGUUCCGUAGCAAUACGGACGGUUACACAGGUGCUGCAUGGCUGUCGUCAGCUCGUGUCGUGAGACGUCGGGUUAAGUCCUUGAACGAGCGCAACCCUUGCCGUUAGUUGCUUACCGAAAGGUGGCUCUCUAGCGGGACUGCUUCGGAA